RNAcentral lists this ribosomal RNA (500 nucleotides) under uncultured bacterium. RNAcentral's name for it is "partial 16S ribosomal RNA". It matches the Rfam family "Bacterial small subunit ribosomal RNA", at positions 28 to 507 of the family's 1533-position model. The record is from RNAcentral.
GACGAACGCUGGCGGCGUGCUUAACACAUGCAAGUCGAACGGGCCUGUCUUCUUUUUUGGGGGGUGGGUUGAGUGGCGAACGGGUGAGUAUCACGUGAGUAACCUGCCCUUCGGUCCUGGAUAACCGCUUGAAAGGGCGGCUAAUACGGGGUGGUCCGGUUGGUCCGCAUGGGCUGGUCGGGAUAGAUUCACUGUUUUUGGUGUUUCGGCGGGGGAUGGGCUCGCGGCCUAUCAGCUUGUUGGUGGGGUGAUGGCCUACCAAGGCGGGGACGGGUAGCCGGCUUGAGAGGGUGGGCGGCCACACUGGGACUGAGAUACGGCCCAGACUCCUGCGGGAGGCAGCAGUGGGGGGUAUUGCACAAUGGGCGGAAGCCUGAUGCAGCGACGUCGCGUGAGGGAUGGAGGCCUUCGGGUUGUGAACCUCUGUUUCCGGUGGUGAAGGCCCUGUCCGUGUGGUGGGGUUGACGGUAGCCGGGGAUGAAGCGCCGGCUAACUACGUG